AACGCAUCUAUUGGAUGCAAAUCCAAAGCAUUCUCGUUCUACAACGCAAAUUCAUAUUUACAUACGCACUAAUGUACAUUGACAUACCUACAUACAUACGUGUAUGCUUGUUCGUGGAGUGCUUUAAUAGUGUGCAUGUGUGUGUGUGUGUGUGUGUGUGUUUGUGUGUUUCUCGGUUUAUCCUGUUGCAGUUUCAUUUUGUGACCGACACUAACGGGUAGUUGCCGAUGUGUUCCAUUACUCGUUUCUGCGAUCACAAAUUCUGAAACUGCCACAAAAAGCAUCAAAGACGCCCCAAAUAGGAACACAUACAAGUACUAUAUGUAAAUACUACAAGUACAUACUACAUAUGUGCAUACCUAUUGUGCAAACUGUAUGACAGAGCUCGGAUUUGAUGAGUUUCUCGAAACGCGCCGUGCUCGGUGAUGUGGCAAAUGAUAAUCUGGAAGCACAUUACGUUUAUAUUUCCUAGCGAAGACACAUUAUAAUUGGCAUAUUCAAUGCCGUGUGAGAGAACAAACAUUCGCAUCUAAACCACAUUGUGUUGAAGGAGAAGAGGGGCAUUACGGGAGCACGAAAAAAUGUCUAUAAAGGCCAAAUGGAAUCCAAGCUAAUACUUUCCUGGAUUUGGCAGUGCUUGCGUGCCAAGUUUGAUAAUUGAGAUGAACGGAUGGUUAGACGGACUUGAUUUGUCACGCUAUCUUCUUAGUGUUACACACAAGUACAAGAAACAAUUGUGUUGUAUUAUUUAUUUGGGUCUUGGAUAAAUUGAAUCUCGUAUUUAUUUCAUUUUUCAGCCUAACAGUAAACAAUCAAAAUGUUAUUUCUAGCCAAGCUAAAAUAAUCGCCAUACAAGUAUAUUUGUUUCUGUCUAUUUACAGCCUAAGGUUCAAAGAACUUUAAUUCUCCACACGCACAUGGUAUUGGAAGUAAGGAAUGAUUUUCUUUGCCAUCUUAAAGCAGUCACGAAUCCCCAAAUAUUGGUGAUACACAACAAUGGUAAUAAAAUGUACGUGAGAAGCCGAACUAUGCCUUAUUCUACAAAAACAGCUGAGCUUUUCCCAUGUGAGCAGCAGGGCGUGGAAGGUGCCUAAAAGCAGAUAAGCGAAAGCUUUAAAUAAGAAAACAGUGAGCGGAGCCAACCAUUGACAUGGUUACAAGGACGCCAUCCACUUGAGGGUGGAGAAAAAAUAAAAAUAUCAGACCUAGAGACAAAGGCACAUAAAAAAAAAUGUCGUUAGUUGUUAUGGCAAAUGUAAAUGUAUCUCAAAGAUACACAACUCGCAAGUUGUUUAUUCGACAUAUGUACAUAUGUAUGUGUGGAGUGUGUAGCUGGUGCUUUGUGUCUGUAUGUGUGUUUUGGAAGGGGGAUGAGGGAACGCGAGUUUAUUUUUAUUCCAUGUUUUACGACACUAUUUUGACGUAAUGUUAUGCCCCAGGCAAAUUUUCAUUUACAUAUCAAGUAGAUGUCGGUUGGAAUAUUGUGCGGUUUUUUUUUUGGCGUUUAUUCUACGUCUGCCUAGGACACUUUUUGGUGCAGUAUUUCUGGGAAUUGAAAUCGAUAAUGGUUGUUGUUUUGAAAUUGAGAAAAGCAAUUUAUUUCCCUGUCUCUAAUACUUACACCUGUGGCAUGUCAAAUCAAUGAAUUAGGUUGGACGAGUUCAUUCUGCGUGAAAGGCUCGGUAAAAGGCAAUAAUUGGAUUCGUAUGUAAUACAAAUACACAUUCAAUUCCAAGAAAAAUGUUGUUCCUAUAGGUAUUAAGUUGAUUACAGCAUGAAUUCAAUAAUAACAAUUCUGUGGAUGCUAAAAUGUAUUGAAUAAAAAAUGUUAUGCAUUGAAAAACGAUUUUCUCUGAGAAUUGAAUCGCCUUUCAGGUUAACAAAUAUAAUUGACUGUUCGCAAAUUAUUAAAUGAGAGGGAUAUAGUUGAGACAUAGGUUUUAAACACAGAUAGUGACUACCAAGCAAUCAGAUCUGCCCCAGGCUUAUCAGCUCUUCUGUUCAGCCCGUCAGUUCAGCAACAAAUAUAUUCGAAAUUAUUAUAAUUUUUUGAAAAUAAUUUGUUUCUUUUACUUUUGAUUACUUAUGACUACUUAUUAGAAGAAAGCGAACAAAGGCUGUUAAUUUAUGAAUAAUUAUUAGUCACUAGGAAGCAGUUUCUGUAAAAUGCAUAGCCUUAUGUAGAGUGAAGAGGUAAAUUGAAACGAUAUCAAGAAAUUUAACAAUAAUCUAUAAUUUAAAAGCAAACCCCUGGAAAAAACUAUAAGACUGCGUCGCGAGCCCAACAAUAAUCUCUACUGCUACCACGCAGAUAGUAAAUAUUAUUAAUAAAUAGUUGUAAGAAAACUCUCAAAAAAUAAAAACUAUAAAUUGAAUUAAAAUGUGUAAUUCAGAAUUUAA
Scaptodrosophila lebanonensis is the source of this 2400-nucleotide long non-coding RNA. RefSeq lists it as uncharacterized. The transcript is spliced from 2 exons. The record is from RefSeq and is a predicted model, not a curated record. NCBI's taxonomy places the organism in Eukaryota, Metazoa, Arthropoda, Insecta, Diptera, Drosophilidae.